GACGAACGCUGGCGGCGUGCUUAACACAUGCAAGUCGAACGGUGAAGCGCCUUCCUUUUUGGUGGGUGUGGAUGAGUGGCGAACGGGUGAGUAACACGUGAAUAACCUGCCCCCUUCUUCUGGAUAACCGCAUGAAAGUGUGGCUAAUACGGGAUAUUCUGGGUCUGUCGCAUGAUGGGUCUGGGAAAGAUAUUGUUUCGGUGGGGGAUGGGCUCGCGGCCUAUCAGCUUGUUGGUGGGGUGAUGGCCUACCAAGGCGGUGACGGGUAGCCGGCCUGAGAGGGUGGACGGUCACACUGGGACUGAGACACGGCCCAGACUCCUACGGGAGGCAGCAGUGGGGAAUAUUGCACAAUGGGCGCAAGCCUGAUGCAGCGACGCCGUGUGAGGGAUGGAGGCCUUCGGGUUGUGAACCUCUUUCGCCAGUGAAGCAGGCCUGCCUCGUUUGUGGGUGGGUUGACGGUAGCUGGAUAAGAAGCGCCGGCUAACUACGUG
Molecule: ribosomal RNA, 494 nt
Filed under: uncultured bacterium
Lineage: Bacteria
Description: partial 16S ribosomal RNA
Rfam family: Bacterial small subunit ribosomal RNA
Source: RNAcentral